This 450-nucleotide ribosomal RNA is filed under the name uncultured bacterium. RNAcentral's name for it is "partial 16S ribosomal RNA". It matches the Rfam family "Bacterial small subunit ribosomal RNA", at positions 338 to 795 of the family's 1533-position model. The record is from RNAcentral.
CCUACGGGUGGCUGCAGUCGAGGAUCUUCGGCAAUGGGCGCAAGCCUGACCGAGCGACGCCGCGUGCGGGAUGAAGGCCUUCGGGUUGUAAACCGCUGUCAGGGGGGAUGAAAUCAUGGUGGGUACUCCCAUCAUGUUGACAGAGCCCCAGAGGAAGCGCGGGCUAAGUUCGUGCCAGCAGCCGCGGUAAUACGAACUGCGCGAAGCACAGUGGGUAUCACUGGGCUAGCAGGGAGCGAAGGUGGGAUGUGAAAUGCCUUGGCUCAACCAAGGCACAGCGCUCUAAACUACUUUGCUUGAGUGAGUCAGGGGUGCACGGAACUUCCGGUGGAGCGGUGAAAUGUGUUGAUAUCGGAAGGAACACCGGCGGCGAAAGCGGUGCACUGGGGCUUAACUGACACUGAGGCACGAAAGCCAGGGGAGCGAACGGGAUUAGAUACCCGUGUAGUC